Molecule: ribosomal RNA, 706 nt
Filed under: uncultured Leifsonia sp.
Lineage: Bacteria; Bacillati; Actinomycetota; Actinomycetes; Micrococcales; Microbacteriaceae
Description: bacterial SSU rRNA
Rfam family: Bacterial small subunit ribosomal RNA
Source: RNAcentral
GACGGCCUUCGGGUUGUAAACCUCUUUCAGCAGGGAAGAAGCGAAAGUGACGGUACCUGCAGAAGAAGCGCCGGCUAACUACGUGCCAGCAGCCGCGGUAAUACGUAGGGCGCAAGCGUUGUCCGGAAUUAUUGGGCGUAAAGAGCUCGUAGGCGGUCUGUCGCGUCUGGUGUGAAAUCCCAUGGCUCAACUGUGGGCUUGCAUCGGGUACGGGCAGACUAGAGUGCUGUAGGGGAGACUGGAAUUCCUGGUGUAGCGGUGGAAUGCGCAGAUAUCAGGAGGAACACCGAUGGCGAAGGCAGGUCUCUGGGCAGUUACUGACGCUGAGGAGCGAAAGCAUGGGGAGCGAACAGGAUUAGAUACCCUGGUAGUCCAUGCCGUAAACGUUGGGCACUAGGUGUGGGGCGGGUUCCACUCGUUCUGUGCCGCAGCUAACGCAUUAAGUGCCCCGCCUGGGGAGUACGGCCGCAAGGCUAAAACUCAAAGGAAUUGACGGGGGCCCGCACAAGCGGCGGAGCAUGCGGAUUAAUUCGAUGCAACGCGAAGAACCUUACCAAGGCUUGACAUGUACGAGAACGCGUUAGAGAUAACGAACUCUUUGGACACUCGUACACAGGUGGUGCAUGGUUGUCGUCAGCUCGUGUCGUGAGAUGUUGGGUUAAGUCCCGCAACGAGCGCAACCCUUAUCCUAUGUUGCCAGCGGGUC